Small nucleolar RNA from Sarcophilus harrisii (Tasmanian devil), 212 nucleotides. Its record names the gene U3. It matches the Rfam family "Small nucleolar RNA U3". Rfam says of the family: Small nucleolar RNAs (snoRNAs) are involved in the processing and modification of rRNA in the nucleolus. There are two main classes of snoRNAs: the box C/D class, and the box H/ACA class. U3 snoRNA is a member of the box C/D class. NCBI's taxonomy places the organism in Eukaryota, Metazoa, Chordata, Mammalia, Dasyuromorphia, Dasyuridae. The record is from Ensembl.
AAGACUAUACUUUCAGGGAUCAUUUCACCUGGUAUGACUAGAGGGGUGUGGCUGCAAAGUGUAGCACCAGAGGUAACCACGGAGGAGCUGGGCGUUCUCUUCUGAGCGUGAAGCCGGCUUGUGGUGCUGCUUCUCAGCUGUCACACCUGGGCCCGAUAAUUUAACUUCCCUUCCUUCGGGUUGGGUGAGAGAGAGGAACGCAGGCUGAUGGC